RNAcentral lists this ribosomal RNA (370 nucleotides) under Salmonella enterica. RNAcentral describes it as "partial 23S ribosomal RNA". It matches the Rfam family "Bacterial large subunit ribosomal RNA", at positions 2572 to 2925 of the family's 2925-position model. The record is from RNAcentral. Lineage: Bacteria; Pseudomonadati; Pseudomonadota; Gammaproteobacteria; Enterobacterales; Enterobacteriaceae.
AUGGCUGUUCGCCAUUUAAAGUGGUACGCGAGCUGGGUUUAGAACGUCGUGAGACAGUUCGGUCCCUAUCUGCCGUGGGCGCUGGAGAACUGAGGGGGGCUGCUCCUAGUACGAGAGGACCGGAGUGGACGCAUCACUGGUGUUCGGGUUGUCAUGCCAAUGGCACUGCCCGGUAGCUAAAUGCGGAAGAGAUAAGUGCUGAAAGCAUCUAAGCACGAAACUUGCCCCGAGAUGAGUUCUCCCUGAGACUUUAAGUCUCCUGAAGGAACGUUGAAGACGACGACGUUGAUAGGCCGGGUGUGUAAGCGCAGCGAUGCGUUGAGCUAACCGGUACUAAUGAACCGUGAGGCUUAACCUUACAACGCCGAAG